CUAGGAAUCUUGCGCAAUGGACGAAAGUCUGACGCAGCGACACCGCGUGUAAGAAGACGCUUUUCGGAGUGUAAAUUACUGUGGCAGGGGAUGAAUUUUGACAGUACCCUGCUAGAAAGCACCUGCUAACUACGUGCCAGAAGCCUCGGUAAUACGUAGGGUGCAAGCGUUAUCCGGAUUUACUGGGCGUAAAGCGUACCGUCGGCGUCUUGUUUAGUCUUUAGUUUAAACCCAGGGCUCAACUCUGGAAGGGCUAAAGAUACUGGCAGGAUAGAGUCUAUUAGGGGGAGCUGGAAUUCUCGGUGGAGGGGUGAAAUCCGUAGAUAUCGAGAGGAACACCAUUCGCGAAGGCGGGCUCCUGGAAUAUGACUGACGCUCAGGGACGAAAGCUUGGGUAGCA
This 400-nucleotide ribosomal RNA is filed under the name uncultured bacterium. Its description in RNAcentral is "bacterial SSU rRNA". It matches the Rfam family "Bacterial small subunit ribosomal RNA", at positions 355 to 770 of the family's 1533-position model. The record is from RNAcentral.